RNAcentral lists this RNase P RNA (331 nucleotides) under Candidatus Kaiserbacteria bacterium RIFOXYD1_FULL_47_14. Its description in RNAcentral is "RNase P RNA component class A". It matches the Rfam family "Bacterial RNase P class A". From Rfam's summary of the family: Ribonuclease P (RNase P) is a ubiquitous endoribonuclease, found in archaea, bacteria and eukarya as well as chloroplasts and mitochondria. Its best characterised activity is the generation of mature 5'-ends of tRNAs by cleaving the 5'-leader elements of precursor-tRNAs. Lineage: Bacteria; Candidatus Kaiseribacteriota. The record is from RNAcentral.
GGACCGAGCUAGGCGAUCGCUCUUUGAGCAAUCAGAGGGAGGAAAGUCCGAACAUGCGCCGAUUUAUCGGCAAAUAGGUAGCGGGUAACGCCCGUCGUCCGUGAGGAUAGAGGUGACCACAGAAACGUCCCGAACGAAAGUGAAGGAAUUCCCUCGUGGAAUAGGCCCGUCGCGAGAUGGGAAUGCAACGAACAAAUCCUUACCCGCAUGCAAGGCCGUGCCCCACGGAGCUUUACGCGAAGUGGGGAGUGCCGCUCGAUCCCGAGCGUAAGCGAGGGACAAGAUAAAUGAUCGCUCACGACAGAAUUCGGCUUAUCGGCUCGGUCUACAA